AUUGAACGCUGGCGGCAGGCCUAACACAUGCAAGUCGAGCGGAUGAAGGGAGCUUGCUCCUGGAUUCAGCGGCGGACGGGUGAGUAAUGCCUAGGAAUCUGCCUGGUAGUGGGGGAUAACGUCCGGAAACGGGCGCUAAUACCGCAUACGUCCUGAGGGAGAAAGUGGGGGAUCUUCGGACCUCACGCUAUCAGAUGAGCCUAGGUCGGAUUAGCUAGUUGGUGGGGUAAAGGCCUACCAAGGCGACGAUCCGUAACUGGUCUGAGAGGAUGAUCAGUCACACUGGAACUGAGACACGGUCCAGACUCCCACAGGAGGCAGCAGUGGGGAAUAUUGGACAAUGGGCGAAAGCCUGAUCCAGCCAUGCCGCGUGUGUGAAGAAGGUCUUCGGAUUGUAAAGCACUUUAAGUUGGGAGGAAGGGCAGUAAGUUAAUACCUUGCUGUUUUGACGUUACCAACAGAAUAAGCACCGGCUAACUUCGUG
RNAcentral lists this ribosomal RNA (484 nucleotides) under uncultured bacterium. RNAcentral describes it as "partial 16S ribosomal RNA". It matches the Rfam family "Bacterial small subunit ribosomal RNA", at positions 30 to 507 of the family's 1533-position model. The record is from RNAcentral.